GAUGAACGCUGGCGGCGUGCCUAAUACAUGCAAGUCGAACGAAACUUCUUUAUCACCGAGUGCUUGCACUCACCGAUAAAGAGUUGAGUGGCGAACGGGUGAGUAACACGUGGGCAACCUGCCCAAAAGAGGGGGAUAACACUUGGAAACAGGUGCUAAUACCGCAUAACCAUAGUUACCGCAUGGUAACUAUGUAAAAGGUGGCUAUACUACCGCUUUUGGAUGGGCCCGCGGCGCAUUAGCGAGUUGGUAGGGUAAAGGCUUACCAAGGCAAUGAUGCGUAGCCGAAUUGAGAGGUUGAUCGGCCACAUUGGGACUGAGACACGGCCCAAACUCCUACGGGAGGCAGCAGUAGGGAAUCUUCCACAAUGGGCGAAAGCCUGAUGGAGCAACGCUGCGUGGGUGAAGAAGGUCUUCGGAUCGUAAAACCCUGUUGUUAGAGAAGAAAGUGCGUGAGAGUAACUGUUCACGUUUCGACGGUAUCUAACCAGAAAGCCACGGCUAACUACGUG
Molecule: ribosomal RNA, 512 nt
Filed under: uncultured bacterium
Lineage: Bacteria
Description: partial 16S ribosomal RNA
Rfam family: Bacterial small subunit ribosomal RNA
Source: RNAcentral